This 388-nucleotide long non-coding RNA is filed under the name Felis catus (domestic cat). RNAcentral's name for it is "lncRNA (ENSFCAG00000049671.1)". The record is from RNAcentral. Lineage: Eukaryota; Metazoa; Chordata; Mammalia; Carnivora; Felidae.
CCAGCGUGGAUUUUCUGGACCAUUCCGUAGGCCCCAAGGACAAGAAAGCACUGAUGGAAGAAGGGGAGAGUCAAGGAUGGGAAGGGACCGAGCCCUCACGACAAGGUGUGUAGACGGUGGAGCCAGAUGAAACCCAGGCCAUGCGAUUCCCAAGCAUAACCUCUACCCGUGGAUGUAUUCAGAAGAUGGAACAACGGAGCAGCACAAGUUCGUUAAGCUAAACAGACCUGAUAGAAGGCUGGCCCUUCCUGCUACUGAGGAAUCCCAUGGACUACGAAUACAGCCACCAAAGAACGAAUAGUUGCUAAUUAUCUCCCUCCACUGGCUUUCCUGGUAACCAUUUUUAACUCGGGGUUUCCCUGAUGGGGUAGGAAGCAGUCUGCGGUGG